AGUCCGGCGCACGGGUGCGUAACGCGUAUGCAACCUACCUUCAUCAGGGGGAUAGCCCGAAGAAAUUCGGAUUAACACCGCAUAAAAUCACAGAACGGCAUCGUUCAAUGAUCAAAUAUUUAUAGGAUGGAGAUGGGCAUGCGUGUCAUUAGUUAGUUGGCGGGGUAACGGCCCACCAAGACCGCGAUGACUAGGGGAUCUGAGAGGAUGACCCCCCACACUGGUACUGAGACACGGACCAGACUCCUACGGGAGGCAGCAGUAAGGAAUAUUGGUCAAUGGAGGCAACUCUGAACCAGCCAUGCCGCGUGCAGGAAGACAGCCCUCUGGGUCGUAAACUGCUUUUAUUCGGGAAUAAGCCUACUUACGUGUAAGUAGCUGAAUGUACCGAAGGAAUAAGGAUCGGCUAACUCCGUGCCAGCAGCCGCGGUAAUACGGAGGAUCCAAGCGUUAUCCGGAAUCAUUGGGUUUAAAGGGUCCGUAGGCGGUCAGAUAAGUCAGUGGUGAAAGCCCAUCGCUCAACGGUGGA
Molecule: ribosomal RNA, 529 nt
Filed under: uncultured Pedobacter sp.
Lineage: Bacteria; Pseudomonadati; Bacteroidota; Sphingobacteriia; Sphingobacteriales; Sphingobacteriaceae
Description: bacterial SSU rRNA
Rfam family: Bacterial small subunit ribosomal RNA
Source: RNAcentral